UGGAAGUAAAAGUCGUAACAAGGUCUCCGUUGGUGAACCAGCGGAGGGAUCAUUACCGAGUUUACAACUCCCAAACCCCUGUGAACAUACCUUAAUGUUGCCUCGGCGGAUCAGCCCGCGCCCCGUAAAACGGGACGGCCCGCCAGAGGACCCAAACUCUAAUGUUUCUUAUUGUAACUUCUGAGUAAAACAAACAAAUAAAUCAAAACUUUCAACAACGGAUCUCUUGGUUCUGGCAUCGAUGAAGAACGCAGCAAAAUGCGAUAAGUAAUGUGAAUUGCAGAAUUCAGUGAAUCAUCGAAUCUUUGAACGCACAUUGCGCCCGCUGGUAUUCCGGCGGGCAUGCCUGUUCGAGCGUCAUUUCAACCCUCAAGCCCCCGGGUUUGGUGUUGGGGAUCGGCUCUGCCCUUCUGGGCGGUGCCGCCCCCGAAAUACAUUGGCGGUCUCGCUGCAGCCUCCAUUGCGUAGUAGCUAACACCUCGCAAGUGGAACGCGGCGCGGCCAUGCCGUAAAACCCCAACUUCUGAAUGUUGACCUCCGGAUACAGGUAGGGAAACCCCACAA
This 564-nucleotide ribosomal RNA is filed under the name Fusarium sp. FS1. RNAcentral describes it as "eukaryotic LSU rRNA". The stretch from base 207 to 360 matches the Rfam family "5.8S ribosomal RNA". Lineage: Eukaryota; Fungi; Ascomycota; Sordariomycetes; Hypocreales; Nectriaceae. RNAcentral also lists the same sequence under 1 other name. The record is from RNAcentral.